Molecule: ribosomal RNA, 411 nt
Filed under: uncultured bacterium
Lineage: Bacteria
Description: bacterial SSU rRNA
Rfam family: Bacterial small subunit ribosomal RNA
Source: RNAcentral
AAUGGGGGAAACCCUGACGCAGCAACGCCGCGUGGGUGAUGAAGGCCUUCGGGUCGUAAAGCCCUGUGGGGAGGGAAGAAAUGAUUGAGAGCUAAUACCUCUUGAUCUUGACGGUACCUCCGAAGGAAGCACCGGCUAACUCCGUGCCAGCAGCCGCGGUAAUACGGAGGAUCCGGGCGUUAUCCGGAAUUACUGGGUUUAAAGGGUGCGUAGGCGGGGCUUUAAGCCGGCGGUGAAGUGCAGCGGCUCUACCGCUGGAAUGCCGUUGGGACUGGGGCCCUUGGAUACGGUCGGGGCGGGUGGAACUCGUGGUGUAGCGGUGAAAUGCAUAGAUAUCACGAGGAACGCCGGUAGCGAAGGCAGCUCGCCGGGCCGGUAUUGACGCUGAGUCACGAAAGCGUGGGGAUCGAA